Molecule: long non-coding RNA, 1256 nt
Filed under: Lytechinus variegatus (green sea urchin)
Lineage: Eukaryota; Metazoa; Echinodermata; Echinoidea; Temnopleuroida; Toxopneustidae
Description: uncharacterized LOC121411722
Source: RNAcentral
UUUUGAAAGAAAAUAAAGCGAGUUCCCUUGCAACGAGAAUAAUCCGAUACCGCCGGCUAGCCGUGUUCAUUCAACUUACAACUUGCAAAUUUGAGUUGAUUUUUCCGUCACUUUACAUAUUUUAAUGUAUAUGUCACAGCUUUUUUUAAUGCACAUUCCACUGGAAACAACGGGUCUUCUUGAGGUUACAAGCACUUGGGCUGGUCCCAACAACCUACACCCAGGAUGAGGAGAAGAGGUUUCAUACUCGACAAGCGAUGGCCUUUCCAUUUCUUUCACGAGCAGAAAUAAUACCGAGUUCCAAUGACUUGGGCAUCAGAGCAGCAGUCCCUUGAUCGAUGAGCUCUUUGAGACCACCUGAAUUGCAAGAUCUGUAUGGCCAGUUUUUGUGUGACAAAAUAAAAGAUGAGGAAGGGUUGAAAAUCCCUCCAGCUAAGUUAGGGAUCAUGUAAUUGCCAUGGAAACCAAAUAUAGUAAUGUAUAACAGGUUGUAUAUUCCUGAAAGUGCAAUUGUUGGAUAAAUGUUUAUGUAUAUUGGCACUAAUGUAAUUUUAAGGUUGUCCUUAUUGUUAGCUUUACAUAAACACCAAAAGCAGAGGAUAUUGUUCCCAGUUGGAAUUGUGUCAUAUUUAUUAUCAUAAUGGUAUUAUCAUAAUUGUGGUAAUGUAAUCCUAUUUGAAAUUUUUAACCAGUAUUUAUUUUGUGUGGGAUAUAAUAUGUUUUAUAUACAAUGAAGUUCAAUGUGUGUUACUAUGUAAUUUUAGAUCUGAUCAAGUUUACCUUAAUGUUACUUAAUAAAACCCACUUAACUCCAAAGAAGUAUUUUGAAUAUUUGGUUCUUGCACUAUUUUGUAUCCCUUUUCUCGCUGAAUAUUUACCUUUUAUUGAGAGCUGUGGUGACGGGUUCCAUGACAUUUGCUCUGGCAAAUUCCACGCCAUAAUCUUAUGAACAGCUUCAACCAGUAAGGUCUAAACCUAACUUAAAACCAUAUUGCAACCCUGAACCUCUAUCUUAAGGGGCUUUCACAAUUGCUUGUGCGAUUGUUUGCGAUCACUUGGUCACAAUAUAUGUUGCACAGAAUUGCAACGGUGAAGGGUCGUAAGUAGUCGCGCAACCAAUUGUGAAAGGGGCUUUAGACAAAAUUAAGCCUGGGGCAAUUGUCGCAGGAGCAAAUGUUGUGUCAAAUGGUAAUCAGAUGGAGAUGAUUGGAGAGAUGAAGAUGGGGGGGGGGAGGAUGAAGAUGGUGAAAGGUGGG